This 1306-nucleotide long non-coding RNA is filed under the name Homo sapiens (human). RNAcentral's name for it is "HSALNT0289849". The record is from RNAcentral. Lineage: Eukaryota; Metazoa; Chordata; Mammalia; Primates; Hominidae.
GCGCUCCGCCACUGCCCAGGCCGGCGGGCGGCACUCGGACCCGCCGCCCUCGGUCCCUCGCGAGGCCACGGAGGCCAACACGCCUCGCACGGGGGGACAGCGCGGGGGCAGCCGUCCAAACACCAGGCGUCCUCGGCUGGUCGUCCCAGGGCGCCCGCACCUCUCCGCCCGCGCUCUCCUGCCGCCGCGCCCCCAAGGUGAGUACCCGGCUGCGCGAGCGCCCGAGCUGGGCCACCUUCGGGGACCCGGGCCACUGGGGACACUCCCCUCUGGCCUCUCGGGGCCCAGGUGCGUAGCGGGCGGAAAGGCCAGCGGCGCAGGUGGAGCAGCUCGGACGGGAGCCGACCAGACGCUUCCUCUUCCCCUGUAGCCCCCAAACUCCGAGGCGCUGCGGCGGAGGGGCCGGGCUGAGCGCAGGCAGGGUGGCCCGGGCCCAGGAGCCUGACGGCCUGAGUGCGGAUUUCUCAUCUGAGUAUCUGGGAAUCGAGAAUGAAUUGGAAGGAAACCGAGGCGCUGCCCUGGCCAGGUUGCUGCCCCGCACCCUUCCGGAGCACCGAAGUCCUGCCCGGCAACGGGACUUGGAGCUGCCGCAGAGUCAGCCUGAGCCCGAGGCAGGGGUCGCGCCCGCGAUGCGGGGUCUCUGCGCCGCCCCGCGAGGCUCCUGGCCUUGCCCUCCCUGCCCUUUGUUGUGUAAUAAGACCUGUGGCGGCUCCACUGAGACCCACACGUGCAACUCCGCGCCUCCGCGUUAAAGGAGGUGAAACGCAGCAGCCCUGAGAAACCCCGAGACCCCGGUGUCCUAGCAGAGGCGCCCCGGAUGGGGAGGGGCGCGGGGCCGGCGCCACCCCAGAGGAAAAGCCCAGCGGAGCCGGGUUGGGCAGGAGCUGGCGGCGGCGGUGCGCUGGGCCUUCUGCCUUGGAUCCUCCGCGGUCGGCACCGCUUCCCUGCUCAGAUUCGAACCCAGAUUCGGCUCCCAAGGCUCCCACGGCUCCAGGGUGCCCAGUCUUGCAGCCAGCUCGCCGCCCGAGCCCCGGAUGGAGGAAGCGCUCACUGGCCGCUACCUCUGCUGUUUCUGGCACCAGAGAUUGAGACUGUGAACCUGAACUCCCUUGAUCUCCUCCCGUUGGGCCCAGGAGGGAGCCGAAUCCAGGCCCAACCGGGCUCACUGAGAAGGUGCAGGAAGCCCCCAACGACUCCUACUCGUGUGCGGCCCAUACUGGGCCAGGACGCUGCAGUGGCCGAGCCGCUGGGUGUCUGCAACGGGGAGCUCCCCCGCCGCUGGGGGCAAUAAACGGAAUCGGUUUCA